UAACCAGACUCCUACGGGAGGCAGCAGUGAGGAAUAUUGGUCAAUGGGCGAGAGCCUGAACCAGCCAAGUCGCGUGAAGGAUGACGGCCCUACGGGUUGUAAACUUCUUUUGUCAGGGAGCAAUUGAGUCCACGUGUGGGCUUGGCGAGAGUACCUGAAGAAAAAGCAUCGGCUAACUCCGUGCCAGCAGCCGCGGUAAUACGGAGGAUGCGAGCGUUAUCCGGAUUUAUUGGGUUUAAAGGGUGCGUAGGCGGACGCUUAAGUCAGCGGUAAAAUGGCGGGGCUCAACCCGGUCGAGCCGUUGAAACUGGGUGCCUUGAGUGGGCGAGAAGUACGCGGAAUGCGUGGUGUAGCGGUGAAAUGCAUAGAUAUCGCGCAGAACUCCGAUUGCGAAGGCAGCAUGCCGGCUCCACACUGACGCUGAGGCACGAAAGCGUGGGUAUCGAACAGGAUUAGAUACCCGCGUAC
This 468-nucleotide ribosomal RNA is filed under the name uncultured bacterium. RNAcentral describes it as "bacterial SSU rRNA". It matches the Rfam family "Bacterial small subunit ribosomal RNA", at positions 328 to 793 of the family's 1533-position model. The record is from RNAcentral.